CUAUUCCAAAUACAUUUUCAAACUAUUCAAAUGACGAAAGUUAUUGUUGUUUUUUAAGCGUUUAUUAGGGAGUGUGAAACUCCAAUAUGGCCGUCAUCUAUUCAAAUGGGAGUAACCGCUGGAAUAUUCUUGGCUUCAAUUUUACUAAAAGAGAUGCUCUAUCUAGUUUAUAUAAGAUAUAUAAGAUUUGGACUGUGUUUCUAAACCAAUAUAGCCGCCAUCUUUUAGUUUUAAAUCACAAAUGUUGAUUGCAACCAAAUAUGUCUCGUUAUCUGCGGCAGUAAUUUUUAAUAUUUACUGUAACACCGACAUGCUAUGUACACAUUUAUAGAAUAAUUUCUCCGCCACUAAUAAUCACAACCCACACUACACCUGUAGUUCUAGAUGUUCUCCAUCUUGCCAAGCGGGGAAAACACAAUCAUUAUGAUAAAACCAUUGCCUUGUCUUAAUGCAAUACUUGUCCCUAGGCUCAUGGUAUUGUUGCUCAAUUGACGAUCCCCCGCCUUAUCACGUUUUCGUGGCGCUUUGCAUUGUGGUUAUAGUAGUAUCACUGAUAAAGAUAGCGGCCUCGAAUGAAAAUAUUGAGUGUUUUCGCGAAUAUUUUGCUGUUGGCUAUCGCGCACCUGACCCUAGCUUUUUUAAAAGUUCUUGCACGGAUCAGGACAAAAAAUAAGCCAUCUUGAAUAUCAGUGAUACCACUAUAACCACAAUGCAAAGCGCUACAAAAACGUAAUAAGGGAAAUCUAGUAUUGUGUUCGCCCCAUUUCGCAAGACAAUCGCAAGAAUCGGCGUCGCAAGAACAGUGUCGUACAAAACAACUUGCACGUUGUUGUAGUGUUUUUGAAAUGCCGGCGAACAAAAUCAAUGUAAACUAUGUCAUUGUCAAUUAAAAACUAAACUUACAUACAUUAUGAUUACACAAACCAUUCAUCGACCAAUCAUCUUGCUGCUUUCGCAUCACGUGGUCGCAGUCGUCUCAUAAUGACGUCUUGUGCUCUAGACGUGGUGGGCGUUGGCGCUUUGCCAGUCU
Molecule: non-coding RNA, 1030 nt
Organism: Paramuricea clavata
Lineage: Eukaryota; Metazoa; Cnidaria; Anthozoa; Malacalcyonacea; Plexauridae
Source: the annotation of a GenBank genome assembly